RNAcentral lists this unclassified non-coding RNA (89 nucleotides) under Pseudomonas sp. B10. Lineage: Bacteria; Pseudomonadati; Pseudomonadota; Gammaproteobacteria; Pseudomonadales; Pseudomonadaceae. The record is from RNAcentral.
UGUAGGAGUGAGCCUGCUCGCGAUAGCGGUUUGUCAGUCACUACUGUUCUAACUGAUACACCGCUAUCGCGAGCAGGCUCACUCCUACA